RNAcentral lists this unclassified non-coding RNA (4104 nucleotides) under Haliotis rufescens (red abalone). RNAcentral's name for it is "slowpoke-binding protein-like, transcript variant X2". Lineage: Eukaryota; Metazoa; Mollusca; Gastropoda; Lepetellida; Haliotidae. The record is from RNAcentral.
ACAGGUCACGAGGAAAACAAACAAGAUGGCGACACACGUGAUGGCGUUUUGAGGUCGCGGAGCCUGUCAUGCGGGUGAAGGACAUAGUUUUUACAACUUCUGUGGACGAGGAUAACCAGUCAAGAUGGUAGACAUUCUGCCGUGGCUCGACGAACACCUAUAUGUGCCGAUCCUCGGUGGACUGGCGUUGGUGGCCAUCAUUGCUGUCAUUGUCUGGUGCUGUGUCCGCAAGUGUAGGAACAGGUACAAGUUUCCGUAUCAACGGAUCGGAGAGUAUGAUGUUGCCCUCUCAGAGAAAAUGGAGAGAGAAAAGCAGCAGAAAAUAAUAGCAGUGAGAGAUUCUGCAUUCAUGAGCUGCCAGUUCUACCUGCGAUCUCACCCCCAGUAUGACAACGUCCAGCAGCUGAAGGACCUAGGGAGCAGGAUCGACAAGCACUGGUUCCGUGUGCGUGACAGUCGGCUGAAGGUGGACCGUGUUCUCACCACCAUCCCCAGCAACCUGAAGAUGGUGCUUCCCUUCACUCCAGCCACCAGCAAGGUCCUCAAGGAUCUCUUCAGCCUCCUCCAGCACCCGUAUGUGUUCGCCAUCUCCGAGUUAAACUUUUCGGUGGAGCAGAUGUGCAUCAUUACUGUCCAGCCAAUCAGCAUGCGGGGAUCUCUGAAGGAUGUCAUCUACCAGCGUAAGUUUACGGAAAGCUGGUAUGAAAAAUACAGUCAGAGAAAUCGCGGACUGAGUCUUCAGCAGAUCCAGCUGUAUGGCCGACAGAUCCUGGAGGGGCUGUUGUAUUUAGAAGAAAAGGGAUUUCCACCACACAGCAACAUUCACUCGGGCAACAUCCUGUUUGAAGAUGGAGUGUGCAAAGUAACGGGGUAUGAAAACAUCUUUUUGGGCAACACAUCCAGAGUGUAUUCUCUCAUAAGGAAGAAACUGAAAGGAGAGAACAAAGAGGCCAUUGACACUCUGUCCUUUGGUCACCUGCUGUUUGAGAUGUGUUUUGGUUUUGAGCUGGAUGCUCCCCAUCCCGAACCCCAGAACCUAACGGGCCACCAGUCGCCCAUCAUAGUCGAGGUGAUGAACUUCAUAUUUGAACCCGAGUCUGGAAAGUAUCCCACUUUACGAGAGGUGUCCCAGCACAUGUUCUUCAGCAGCAUCCGGCUCCAGGAGAUGAUGAUGUACAACCCAGCACCCAUACAUCUGAGUGGCACGAUGAAGAGUCUUCUGAAGACAGUCAGGAAGGGGAAGUCAAAAUCAAAGUCAAAAUCUGGUACAGAUAAGAUGAAGUCUGAGUCCAAGAGAGUGUCAAGAUCUGCUUCUGUGUCCUCAGUGACCAAUACAACUCCACCCCCACCUCCUCCCCCUCCCGGUCCCCCACCACCCCAGGGCCCCCCACCGCCACCCACACCCCCACCCCAGCCAUCCACCUCAACCUCUAGUCCCAGUAGGGGUGCUCUCCUGGGAUCCAUCAGACAGGGCCAAAGACUCAAGAAGACCAUCACUAAUGACAGGAGCACACCACGAGUUUGAACACUACUCAUGGACAUCUGGCACAGGACAUGGACAUCUGGCACAGGACAUGGACAUCUGACACAGGUCAUGGACAUUUGACACAGGACAUGGACAUCUGACACGGGACAUGGACAUCUGACACAGGUCAUGGACAUCUGACACGGGACAUGGACAUCUGGCACAGGACAUGGACAUCUGACACAGGUCAUGGACAUUUGACACAGGACAUGGACAUGUGACACAGGACAUGGACAUCUGACACGGGACAUGGACAUCUGACACGGGACAUGGACAUCUGGCACAGGACAUGGACAUCUGGUGCAGGUCAUGGACAUCUGACACAGGUCGUGGACACCUGACACAGGUCAUUGACAUCUGGUGCAGGUCAUGGACAUCUGGUGCAGGUCAUGGACAUCUGACACAGGUCGUGGACAUCUGGCACAGGUCAUGGACAUCUGGCACAGGACAUGGACAUCUAGCUCAGGACAUGGACAUCUAGCUCAGGACAUGGACAUGCAACAUGCAGAGCAGUGUAAUGAAGCUGCUGAAUUGAGGAAUCCAGAGUGAACUUGUAGUCCUCAAAGUAUCCUGAUAUGACAGUAGCCGUAUCACAGGGGCAUCAUUGGUCAUUGGAUGAUACAAUGUACCCAUAUUUGUGGAUUGAUAUAGUUACUGAAGACAAUACAAUGUUUCUGAAGACAAAGAUACUCUCUCUGUUGAUGGGUAUGUGUCCAGCUCCCUUUGACCGUGUCCAGCUCAACCUUGACACCACCUUGACAUCUCGACACUGACUGAAGCACAGUGUCAACACAGCCAGGCCUUCAGGAAGUUCACUGUCACAGAAUUGACUGUUCACUUUGUAUAUAUGAUUAACUCUAUUGUCAUGAUGAAGAUUUGCCCACUGUGCUUUCAAGUCCUCAUGCAAUCUCUUUUGUAUGAACGGUGAUCUGUUAGAUGUUGUAGUUACCCAAUACUGUAGAUUGGAACCAGCAGUUGGUUCCAGUGGUAUAGGCAUACUGUACACAUCAGUCUCUGGACAUACAGUACAAUUUAGUCCCUAGACAUACAGUACACAUCAGUCUCUGGACAUACAGUACAAAUUAGUCUCUGGGCAUACUGUACACAUCAGUCUCUGGACAUACAGUACAAUUUAGUCCCUAGACAUACAGUACACAUCAGUCUCUGGACAUACAGUACAAAUUAGUCUCUGGGCAUACUGUACACAUCAGUCUCUGGACAUACAGUACAAUUUAGUCCCUAGACAUACAGUACACAUCAGUCUCUGGACAUACAGUACAAAUUAGUCUCUGGACAUACCGUACACUUUAGUCUCUGGGCAUACAGUACACAUUAAUUUCUGGACAUACAGUACACAUCAGUCUCUGGAAAUACAGAACACAUUAGUCUCUGGAUGUACAGUACACAUUAGUCUUUUGACACAAGUACACAUUAGUCUCUGGAUGUACAGUGCACUUUAGUCUCUGGACAUACAGAACACAUUAGUCUCUGGACAUACAGUACACAGUCUCUGGACCUACAGUACACAAUAGUCUCUGGACAUACAGUACACAUUAGUCUUUUGACACAAGUACACAUUAGUCUCUGGAUGUACAGUACACAUUAGUCUUUGCAUGUACAGUACACUUUAGUCUCUGGACAUACAGUAUACUUUAGUCUCUGGACGUACAGUACACAGUCUCUGGACAUACAGUUCUCAUUAGUCUGGACGUACAGUACACAUUAGUCUCUGGACGUACAGUACACAUUAGUCGCUGGACAUACAGUACACAUUAGUCUCUGGACGUACAGUACACAUUAGUCUCUGGACAUACAGUACACAUUAGUCUCUGGACGUACAGUACACAUUAGUCUCUGGACAUACAGUACACAUUAGUCUCUGGAUGUACAGUACACAUUAGUCUCUGGACAUGCAGAACACAUUAGUCUCUGGACGUACAGUACACAUUAGUCUCUGGACGUACAGUACACAUUAGUCUCUGGACGUACAGUACACAGUCUCUGGACGUACAGUACACAUUAGUCUCUGGACGUACAGUACACAUUAGUCUCUGGACGUACAGUACACAGUCUCUGGACGUACAGUACACAUUAGUCUCUGGACGUACAGUACACAGUCUCUGGACAUACAGAACACAUUAGUCUCUGGACGUACAGUACACAUUAGUCUCUGGACGUACAGUACACAUUAGUCUCUGGACGUACAGUACACUUUAGUCUCUGGACAUACAGAACACAUUAGUCUCUGGACGUACAGUACACAUUAGUCUCUGGAAGUACAGUACACAUAAGUCUGUGUCAUGCAGGCACAGUUGCAAUAUCAGAAUAUAUUUUUCCAAUUCUAGAGCCAGUUAAUGACGUGCAAUGUAUCCAUUGACCAUCAGUCUCUGGACAUGCAGUACACAUUAGUCUGUGUCAUGCAGGCACAGUUGCAAUAUCAGAAUAUAUUUUUCCAAUUUAAGAGCCUGUAAAUAAUGUGCAAUGUAUCCACUGACCAAAUCCUGUAAAACCCUUUAUGUACAAUUCACCAGAACCUGCCUUCUCUUGCAUCAAUGGUAACCUCUUUGACUGUCCAAUCA